This 563-nucleotide long non-coding RNA is filed under the name Brassica rapa (field mustard). Its description in RNAcentral is "long non-coding RNA (BRAP_LNC002510)". The record is from RNAcentral. Lineage: Eukaryota; Viridiplantae; Streptophyta; Magnoliopsida; Brassicales; Brassicaceae.
GAAUUAACUAUAACAAAAAUUCAUCAAAAAUUUAACAAUAUGUUUAUCAGAUUCUUUUUUGCUGAAUCUUCGUUCUGAACACUAAUUCUGAUGAAUUAUCGGAAAUCCACUAAAAAUAUUUUUCAAAAAAAAAAAUCAUCAAAAAUAUGUCAUUUUGUCGAAUUAUCAAUGAUUUAGUCCUGGAAGUGAGUUAACGUGUAAUGGUUAAUCCUAAUUGUGGUGAUUCUUUUUUUUUUUUUUGAGUGAUUCUUGUUUAUAGAAUUUGUUAUAUACUCCAUCGGUUUUAAAAAGAUAUAUUUAGAAAAAAAAUUGUUUCACAAAGAUAUAUAUUUUAUGUUUUUUAUGAAAAAAUAUAAACUUCAAAAAAAUUAAUUGAUUUUAUUGAAUUACUAUUGGUUAAAAGAUAUUGAAAAUUAAAAAUUACAGAAAAUGAUACAUUUAUUAUAUUAAUUUAAUUUGUUUUUUAAAUAUAUGUGAAAACGUUAAAAAAUCUAUUUUUAUGAAACGGAAAGAAUAUACAGCAUGUCAAAUUUAUGAAAACCGAAUAGAGCAAAUUAGCUCAA